RNAcentral lists this ribosomal RNA (253 nucleotides) under uncultured bacterium. RNAcentral's name for it is "partial 16S ribosomal RNA". It matches the Rfam family "Bacterial small subunit ribosomal RNA", at positions 524 to 776 of the family's 1533-position model. The record is from RNAcentral.
UACGGAGGGGGCUAGCGUUGUUCGGAAUUACUGGGCGUAAAGCGCACGUAGGCGGCUUUGUAAGUUAGAGGUGAAAGCCCGGGGCUCAACUCCGGAAUUGCCUUUAAGACUGCAUCGCUAGAAUUGUGGAGAGGUAAGUGGAAUUCCGAGUGUAGAGGUGAAAUUCGUAGAUAUCUGGAAGAACACCAAUGGCGAAGGCAAUGUUCUGGCUCGUUUCUGACGCUCAGGUGCGAAAGCCAGGGGAGCGAACGGG